UGCAACCUCCAGCUACCAGGUUCAAGUGAUCCUCCUGCCUCAGCCUCCUGAGUAGCUCGGAUUACAGGUGUGCACCACCAUGCCCAGCUAAUUUUUGUAUUUUUAGUAGAGACUAAUGGUUGCACAACUCUUAUUCAAAAUCAUUAAAUUAUAUACUUAAAACGGAUCCAUUUUAUGGUAGAUAAAUGAUACCUCAAUAAAACCAUUAAUCAAAUAUUAAUUGCAAAUAGAACUGAGAGUGGAGAAAUCAUUUCUGGUUUUGGACAUUAGGAAAGGCUUCCUGGAGGAGGUGGCAUACAUGAUGGACUUGAUAAGUUGAACUGGCCCAAACGCUAAUAGUGUCCAGAAUUGCCUGCUAUGAGCCCUUCAUAAGACAUCUCACUUAAUUCUCAGAACAACUGCAUUGUACAGAUGAGGUAACCUGGAAGCAGAUGUUGAGUGGCCAACGUAAAGCUACGCAAGUAACAUGUAAUGGAACUGAGCCUGCAGCUCAUAUCCCUUCAGCAUCAAAGCCCAGGCCUAUAACCACUCUAGAAUCCCACCUCUGGUCACUGCUCUUAAAUCUCUGCAAAUACGGGGAUGCAGUGGUUUUUUUGGAGCAAUCUGUCAUAAUCUUGUUUGCCCAAAGACGGCCUAAUUUGCCACUAUCUAACCAAAUUCAAACCUUAUGGCAAGGUAACGUAAUAAAACCACCCUUCUAAUAACGCACCUGCUUAAGGCAAAUGAAUUGCUCAGAUAUAAAAUUAGAAUUGCGCUCUCAAAGUGCACGAGACCUGGAGGAUACAUUGUGCUUUAACAUUGAUUUCAAUUACGUCUUAACCUUCAGCAUGAUGAUGUGACAUUAUACUCUUCUCUCACUGACUGCUGCUGUACACUUUCUUUUAUUUCUCUUGUU
Molecule: long non-coding RNA, 895 nt
Filed under: Homo sapiens (human)
Lineage: Eukaryota; Metazoa; Chordata; Mammalia; Primates; Hominidae
Description: non-protein coding lnc-HS3ST4-2:3
Source: RNAcentral